CAUUGAAGCUUAAUAUGAUUUCAACUGCUACACAACACUGAGUCAUCUGGAAUGUUACUUAACGUCUGGUCUCAUCUCCAGAGAUAUUCUGUUCCCCACCUCAAAAUCUCUGCUAUCUAAAACUGACUUGUAUUCUCUCUUUCCCUGUUCUGUGGAAAGAAUGGAUCCUAACCUGUAGAGUGUUUCAUACUUUCAUUUACUUUUACCACUAUCAGGGUCAAUGUGUGAGAUUGGCCGGAUGCAAAAUAAAUAUACACUUAUUCCGUCACUUAACUGAAAACUCUCAAAAACGUUUUUUAAAUAUCCUUCUGCUUAAUGUUGUUAUGGUACUGUGGAAUGUGCAUUUUCUAAAUUGAUUUUUGUCCUGCCUUUUUUUUCUGACAGUAGAAAGUUUCUUCCAUUAAGCUUAACCAGUAAUGAGAGGUAAAACCCAGUGUGCUUGCCCAUUCCCCAAGAAAUGCUAAACCGCAUGUUUAACAGUUUACAAGAUGGUAUGGAUACAACUUUAAAGCAAGUGGGAACAUGCACUUAGAUGCACGCUUAUUUUUAACCCUAUCCUUCCAACCAUCGAAGGCUUUCCAAUUUAGUUUGUUUUUAUUGAUGAGAGCACUUUAAUUGAACAAUCUGCCUGCAAUAAGUUUUUUUUUACAUUUUGGAUUCGCACUUGAUUUAUUUUGCCCUCUAUUUGUGUAGAAUAAUAGGUAGGCAUGAAGCUGACACCCUUCUGCUGAAAGUCCAGUUAGUACUUUGCCCAUUUCCUAAUAAAUACACGUUUGGAAGUUUUAAUGUUAAUUACCAAAAUGAAGGGAGACAUAAAAUGCUGGAGUAACUCAGACAGUGUGACCUGCAAUUUUCAAUUUCAGCAUCUUAUUUUAAAGACUAUGUGACAAGUUUAUAGAGGUUGUAGAACCAGAUAUGAUAGUGACUUUUAAGAGGCAUUUAGACAGGAACAUGAGCUGGUAGGGAGUAGAUUUAUACAGACUACAUGCAGGCUGAUGGGGCGAUGUUGAUUGGCAUCACGGUUGGCACAUUGAUGGGCUGAAGCGCCUGUUCCUGCGCUGUACUGUUCUGUAUUCUAAAAUGGGUAAUAAUACUCAAAGGCAUUUGUGUGGCUUCACUGGAAUGAGUGCACAAGCAUCUUCAGGUCCUCUGUGUCAUUUUAACACCAACUACAUAUUGUAGCUUUAAUCUGACACAUUUGUAGUUGAACAGGAGUAUAAUGAUUGUUUUCAUCGCAAUCAUUUUCUUGUCUAUUACACAGAGGUGCUCUGUUUCCUUUUCAUGGCAGAAUCAUCUAAAACCUUUGAGAUAAAUGUGCACAUGCAAAAUGUCCAUCAAACAUGAAACUCAACAAUAACAAGUUGCCUGGAAGCUAGUGAAAACACAUUAUCUUCUAAUAUAUAUUUUUUGAUAAAACCUCCUCACAGCAGACAGUGUUGUACAUAAAGAGUGUAAACUCUGUCAUCAAGUGACAUAUAGCUAAUGUAUUCAUUUUCUUUCAUGUGUACCAGCAACAAAAAUACAAACACUAAAGGGCAAGAUAUUGCCCUUAACAAGAGCAAAAAAACUAACCGUGCAAGAUAUUGUGUUAUUGCUGGCAGUAGGCUUUAAUCAUGUCGCAACUUGGAAAAUCUCCUCAUGGCAAAGUGAUGAAUAGCUUUAGGUAUUGUUCACAAUAGUUACAGGUAAUUAAUGUUAUCAGUAAGAAUGAUAAAUUGGUAGUAUGUAAAAUGUAUACUUUGACUGUAUUGGUUGUGAUCUUCAUCCCAUGUGUAAUUAAGUCACACAAAGCGGGAAACCUGGGAAUCCAACUGUUCAUUUAAUUUAGUUGAGGUUCAAUCAGUACAAAAUUAAUGGCCAAAAUCAACUUUUUGGUUAGGAUUGAAGGAAGUUAUAGAACCUUUGCAACACAGGAGUCGAUUUAGUCCAUCAAAGGCAUAGCUGCUGCAAAUAGAGUAAUAUCAUACCCUGCCAAUUCCCAAGUCAAUCUGUAAAUCAUUCUCUCUGGUGUCCACUUCCUUUGGGAAGGCAUGUUUAGUUUUUUUUAAUCCACCACCUUUGCAGGCUCGAGUUCCCCAUCAAAGCAUUCUCAGCAUUGUUUUUAAUUAAUCGUCACCUCAGCGCAGAUGUGGAAGAACUAUCUCCAUUGAACCUUACACAGUGUACGUAACUAUAAACCAUUGCAGUGCUAUUGUUUCACUACCCAUUGGAAGUAUUGCCCAGUUGAUAUACAAGCUGCAAUUAUAUGGCCUGAAUCUUUCAAGGCUGUAGAUGGUUGGUGACAUAAUGACGUGGUGAGGUGGGGAUUGCAGUUGUUCAUGGGGCAUUGUAACAUUCAUCAACCCACAUUUUUCUUAUUACGAGCUCUAAAUCUUGACUUGAAUAGUGUACAGUAUUUGCUUACAGAAGCAAAAUGAUACUGAGACAGAAUGAUAUGUUGGGGAUCUAUGAACUUGUCCUACAAAUAGCCCGGAUGAACAGACGUAAAUUUAAACCAAUCCCUCUCUGUAAUUUCUGAGGAAAAUAAUUGAUUCCGGAAUAGAGACUUUUCACAGUCUCAACGUAUUGUGUUUUGAA
Amblyraja radiata (thorny skate) is the source of this 2577-nucleotide long non-coding RNA. RefSeq lists it as uncharacterized. The transcript has 3 exons. The record is from RefSeq and is a predicted model, not a curated record. NCBI's taxonomy places the organism in Eukaryota, Metazoa, Chordata, Chondrichthyes, Rajiformes, Rajidae.